GGCCUUGAACACCUCCAGGGGUGGGGCAGCCACAGCUUCUCUGGUUGACCCUUGCUAGUGCCUCACCACCUUCUCUGUGAAGAUACUCACUAAUGAGCUAUAUCCACAAGACAAUCUAAAGCAGAGAAAAUGUGAGCUGCUGCUCUGUCUUGCUGAGUGUUGUUUCCAAUCAAAAUUUAAAGGAAAAAACUAAAGACAUUUGGAAGUGCUGUAAACCCUUCAGCUAUGACAGACAUGUGGAGAGUGCUGCCAUGGAACAGCUGUAUUUGUUGAGCUGAAGUCCAAAGCUUGUACAAUGAAGGAUAAAGCUCAGAGGGCUUUAUAAUUGGGACACAUUUUGAAUUCUGAGCCAAAGGCAAAAAUAAGCAAGUAAACAAGGAGGAGUAACACAAGCGUCAUAAAAAUAAAGAGCAGAACUGUUCAGAACUUGUUCAGGUCCUAAACAAUAAACCAAAAUACAAUUCAAAGUUGCAAAACACAAAGCUUCUAUAGGCAUACUAUGUUACUUAUGGACUACAGGAAGAAAAAUAGUUCUACUAUUUUCCUUUUCAGAUUUGAUUAUUCCAAGCGCAGUCUCAGAAGAAGGACUUUUUUUGCCAUCUUGAGGUCUGGAGGAGGGAUUAAAGGAACUUUCUAGCCAUGAGAUCUGAGGAUCAGAACACGUGGUGGUAAAAUUAAAUGGCUUACAUUACAUGUGGUGAAGACUACCACAACUACCUUGCCUCACUACCUUUGAGCUUGAUGCUCAAAAUGAGAAAAAGCGGACACGUCUAAAGACACAAGGCUCACAAGUUCUACAUGGAGAGCACAGACAGAGGUGGCCGCAGCUCUCUGAUCUCUGCCC
Molecule: long non-coding RNA, 844 nt
Organism: Tympanuchus pallidicinctus (lesser prairie-chicken)
Lineage: Eukaryota; Metazoa; Chordata; Aves; Galliformes; Phasianidae
Exons: 2
Source: RefSeq, a predicted model, not a curated record